GUUCUGAAGCUGUGUCUGAUUCACUGUGACAGCCCCUCUCUCAUGGGUCCCAUCAUCCCUCCCUGCAUCUCAUUUCUGUUGGGAAUUCCCAAAGAACUUCCAGAACAAUGUUGAAUAGAAGUGCCAAGAGCAAAUAACCAUGCCAUGCUCCUAAUUUUAUGAAUCAGAAGGAGUUUCUUUGCUGCUUCCCUUUUCAGAAACUUGGAGACCAUAUAUCUUUGCAAAGUGGAUUUUUAAAAAUAAAGAAGAAAAGAUUAAAUCAGAGAAGCUCCCAAGUUUUCUGCCUUCUGCCUGGACCAGCUUCCUGUGCUUCUUCCUUUCCAAAAUUGAUGUGGUAAAUGUUAUUGCAGUAGCACUGGCUCAGAAAAGCCCAGGCCUUCCAAGAAUGUAACCUUCAUGGAGAAAUUCUGCGACUCUUUCUCCUCUUGGGAGGCUAGAGAGGUAAGACGUAGAAGGAGAGAGAGAAAAAGAGACACGGAGAAAUUUGCCUUGUUAGUGGCUUUCAGGAGAACAAGGCCAGAAGACACAGAGUCCCGGACCUUAUCCACAAGUGUGAGAAGCCAAGAAGGAAAUGACUACCUCUAGAAAGCCUUUCCUGAACGCUUCGACGGAGCUACAAUGGAGAUGAUGUGGUCCACCUUUGGGGUAGGCUCGUAAGAACUGCAGUGGAUAAAAGGACAACUAGAAAAGGGAGGUGGAGGUGGAAGCAAGCUGCCACCGGAGUCAUUAACUGGUUGGAUGUUCUCUCUGCAAUCCUCUGCUUCAGGACUCAAAACUUCCUCCUCAUUCCCAUCCUGUCACUUGCAGCAGAAACUAUUGCCUUGGGACUUGCCAGAGACCUGAAGAUUCCUGAACUCAAGGUGGGGCAUUGCCUUUGAGGAACUGAAGCCACGUAACUGAAUAGGCUAGUCUUGGUUUUCAGAAUGUGAGCCAUAGAACCAGGAUAAUGCAUUAGUCAUGGUCCAUUGAGCUAAUACAAAAGUACUCAAGUAUAUUCCAAAAUAUAUUUUUCUAUAUCUGAAGAUAAUUUGAGUCUGUAGACACCCAUUAAACCUAUAAAGUAUGCACCCACUGCCAAUGCGAUUGACCUAUCGGAAAGAUGUGUACUUGGGAGCGUAGGCAUGCAUCUUUGCAAGUGUGGAGGUGUGUUGGUUAUCAUGAGUGAGAACUGGUGAGUGGGAUUCAGAGCCUGAGUCCUACCUGAGUAACUGGGAGACUGUGGUACUGUGCCUCCAAGGUGGCAUCCAUCAAUGCUUCCUUCCCUGUGUGCACAUCCAGAGAUGAGAUUGACGCCUCCUCUCCCCUUAGACAUGGCUGGACUUACCAACAUGCUUGGUAAGUCCAGAAUGCAGCUGUGUGACUUUGGGGAUUUGGAGGCUCGGUCACAGAAGUCGCAGCUUCCCCACGUGCCUCUUCGUCUGCUUGCUUUUGAACAUUUCCUCAUGGGCACCAGCCUUGAGGGCCAUGCUGUGAGAAGCUGAAGCCGCUGGAGAGGUCCCUGUAGAAGUGCAGAGACAGAGAGGAGCAGAGGACCCAGGAGGCACCGGAAGCAGGUGUGAGGAACCAUCUUGUAAGUGGAUCCUGCCCCACAUGACACUGUGAGAUUCAGAGAUGAAUGGCCCAGCCAAUUUCUUCCCAAAUUCCUAAACCAUAC
Long non-coding RNA from Homo sapiens (human), 1654 nucleotides. The record is from Ensembl. NCBI's taxonomy places the organism in Eukaryota, Metazoa, Chordata, Mammalia, Primates, Hominidae.